This is a non-coding RNA of Cheilinus undulatus (humphead wrasse), 429 nucleotides long. The record is from the annotation of a RefSeq genome assembly. NCBI's taxonomy places the organism in Eukaryota, Metazoa, Chordata, Actinopteri, Labriformes, Labridae.
UGGACCACUGGAACCAAAUUUUUGGGGAAAAUGAUGCUGAAGGUGAUAAACAAAAAAACAGGUGAUGCACGUCCCACCCUGACAGUGCUGCCCCCCUCCCGUGAGGAGCUGCAGCAGGGUACCACGGCCACGCUCAUGUGCCUGGCCAACAAGGGCUUCCCCUCAGGCUGGAGUCUGGCCUGGAAGGUGGGCGGCAUCGGCAGCAUCAGCGGGGAGGAGAGCAGGAGCCCUGCGGUGCUGGAGAGGGACACUCUCUACAGCUGGAGCAGCACCCUGAGGAUCACUGCAGACCAGUGGAGCAAGGUGGGCUCUGUGACCUGUGAGGCCACCCAGGGCUCCCAGACUCCAGUCACAGAGACUCUGAGGAAAGACCAGUGUUCCCAGUUCUGAUCUGACUCACUGGGACUCUGCUGCUGGUUUUAAUCUAUG